This 349-nucleotide unclassified non-coding RNA is filed under the name soil metagenome. RNAcentral describes it as "partial contains 5.8S ribosomal RNA, internal transcribed spacer 2, and large subunit ribosomal RNA". The stretch from base 1 to 119 matches the Rfam family "5.8S ribosomal RNA", at positions 35 to 154 of the family's 154-position model. The record is from RNAcentral.
GAUGAAGAACGUAGUGAAAUGCGAUAAGUAGUGUGAAUUGCAGAAUCCGUGAGUCAUCGAAUCUUUGAACGCACAUUGCGCCCUCUGGUAUUCCGGAGGGCAUGCCUGUUCGAGCGUCAUUAUCACCCCUCAAGCCCGGCUUGUUGUUGGAUGCAGCGCUUAUCCCGCUCCUCCCAAAGAUAAUGACGGCGUCUGCGACGACUCCUGUACACUGAGCUUUCGGGCACGUACACGGCUAGAAGUCCAGACCCGGUCGCCGUCCCCCCCGCGGGGACACCCAUUACCACAAGGUUGACCUCGGAUCAGGUAGGAAUACCCGCUGAACUUAAGCAUAUCAAUAAGCGGAGGA